CACGUAGGGUGCGAGCGUUGUCCGGAAUUAUUGGGCGUAAAGAGCUUGUAGGCGGUUUGUCGCGUCUGCUGUGAAAAUCCGGGGCUCAACCCCGGACUUGCAGUGGGUACGGGCAGACUAGAGUGUGGUAGGGGAGACUGGAAUUCCUGGUGUAGCGGUGAAAUGCGCAGAUAUCAGGAGGAACACCGAUGGCGAAGGCAGGUCUCUGGGCCACUACUGACGCUGAGAAGCGAAAGCAUGGGGAGCGAACAGGAUUAGAUACCCCUGUA
Molecule: ribosomal RNA, 269 nt
Filed under: uncultured prokaryote
Description: partial 16S ribosomal RNA
Rfam family: Bacterial small subunit ribosomal RNA
Source: RNAcentral